AUAAGGCCCAACCGGAGCUCCAUCGUAAGGUGCAAUAUCGGAGAGCUUAACUCGGGCCAAAGGCGGCAGCCCAAGUUCUACCCCAGGCGACCCAAUUGCAUGGUCCCGACCCAAAGAAAGUGGUGAAGGUGAAGGAAAUUGAGUAGUAGCAGUGUUGGGGGAUCUAAGAGCAGGUGGAGGAGUGGGAUUGAUUGGGUGUGGUGCAGGUGCAGUAGACUGAUGUUGAUGCUGAUGCAUCAUGAUCAUAACCAUCGAUCAUUUCCUUACAUAUAGAAGAGUGUGUGUGAGUGUGUGAGAGAUAGAGAAAGUUGAAUUAGGGUUUAUGUAUUUGGAAAGACGAAUUUUGUAGCUGGAGCGGCGGAAGUCCAAGUUCUACCGGCGGCCCAAUUACACGGUCCCGACCCAAAGAAAGUGGUGAAGGUGAAGGAAAUUGAGUAGUAGCAAUGUUGGGGGAUCUAAGAGUGGGUGGAGGAGUGGGAUUGAUUGGUUGUGGUGCAGGUUCAGUGGACUGAUGCUGAUACAUCAUGAUCAUAACCAUCGAUCAUUUCCGUAUGUGCAGAAGCACUGUGUGUGUGAGAGAGAGAGAGAGAGUGAGUGAGAGAGAGUUGAAUUAGGGUUUAUGUAGUUGGAAGAUGAAUUUUGUAGCUGGAGAAUUCUGGAAAUGGGAAAUUGUUGAGAUUCGUUAAAGGAAAAUUUGAGAGGUUUUUGGCUGCAGAAAAAAUUGAAAUGGAGUUGAAGCGCUGACAGUGGUAAAGAAGACGAAACUGUUCUCUUUUGAGUUCUUUUUCCUUUCUUUUUUCCGCCUAAUAUUUGGUACCCGCAUACUAAGUGGGCGUUUGGACUUUGGACAUA
Molecule: long non-coding RNA, 852 nt
Filed under: Nicotiana benthamiana
Lineage: Eukaryota; Viridiplantae; Streptophyta; Magnoliopsida; Solanales; Solanaceae
Description: long non-coding RNA (NBEN_LNC041442)
Source: RNAcentral